CCUACGGGUGGCAGCAGUGGGGAAUAUUGGACAAUGGGCGAAAGCCUGAUCCAGCCAUGCCGCGUGUGUGAAGAAGGCCUUCGGGUUGUAAAGCACUUUCAGUGGGGAAGAAAGCCUUGGGGCUAAUACCCUCGAGGAAGGACAUCACCCACAGAAGAAGCACCGGCUAACUCCGUGCCAGCAGCCGCGGUAAUACGGAGGGUGCGAGCGUUAAUCGGAAUUACUGGGCGUAAAGCGCGCGUAGGCGGUCUGAUAAGCCGGUUGUGAAAGCCCCGGGCUCAACCUGGGAACGGCAUCCGGAACUGUCAGGCUAGAGUGCAGGAGAGGAAGGUAGAAUUCCCGGUGUAGCGGUGAAAUGCGUAGAGAUCGGGAGGAAUACCAGUGGCGAAGGCGGCCUUCUGGACUGACACUGACGCUGUGGUGCGAAAGCGUGGGUAGCAAACAGGAUUAGAUACCCCGGUAGUC
This 465-nucleotide ribosomal RNA is filed under the name Vreelandella stevensii. RNAcentral describes it as "partial 16S ribosomal RNA". It matches the Rfam family "Bacterial small subunit ribosomal RNA", at positions 338 to 795 of the family's 1533-position model. Lineage: Bacteria; Pseudomonadati; Pseudomonadota; Gammaproteobacteria; Oceanospirillales; Halomonadaceae. The record is from RNAcentral.